RNAcentral lists this ribosomal RNA (253 nucleotides) under uncultured bacterium. Its description in RNAcentral is "partial 16S ribosomal RNA". It matches the Rfam family "Bacterial small subunit ribosomal RNA", at positions 524 to 776 of the family's 1533-position model. The record is from RNAcentral.
UACGUAGGUGACAAGCGUUGUCCGGAUUUACUGGGCGUAAAGAGCGCGCAGGCGGUCGAUCAAGUCGAGUGUGAAAGCCCCCGGCUCAACUGGGGAGGGUCAUUCGAUACUGAUCGACUCGAAGGCAGGAGAGGGUAGUGGAAUUCCCGGUGUAGUGGUGAAAUGCGUAGAUAUCUGGAGGAACACCGGUGGCGAAGGCGACAUCCUGGACCGGUAUUGACGCUGAGGCGCGAAAGCCAGGGGAGCAAACGGG